This 101-nucleotide small nucleolar RNA is filed under the name Capsicum annuum. Its description in RNAcentral is "Plant small nucleolar RNA R71". It matches the Rfam family "Plant small nucleolar RNA R71". Rfam says of the family: R71 is a member of the C/D box family of snoRNAs containing the C (UGAUGA) and D (CUGA) box motifs. Lineage: Eukaryota; Viridiplantae; Streptophyta; Magnoliopsida; Solanales; Solanaceae. The record is from Rfam by way of RNAcentral.
AUUACAUGGGCAUUGGGCCAAUUUUCCAUUAAACCAUUCCCAAGCUUCAAACAAUGGCUCUCCAUUUAUUUGCUAAAAAUUCACAAUCUCAUCCUGUUUUU